AACGAACGCUGGCGGCAGGCCUAACACAUGCAAGUCGAGCGAGGACUUCGGUCCUAGCGGCGGACGGGUGAGUAACGCGUGGGAACGUGCCCUUUGCUUCGGAAUAGCCCUGGGAAACUGGGAGUAAUACCGGAUGAGCCCUUUGGGGGAAAGGUUUAUCGGCGAAGGAUCGGCCCGCGUUGGAUUAGGUAGUUGGUGGGGUAAUGGCCUACCAAGCCGACGAUCCAUAGCUGGUUUGAGAGGAUGAUCAGCCACACUGGGACUGAGACACGGCCCAGACUCCUACGGGAGGCAGCAGUGGGGAAUCUUAGACAAUGGGGGAAACCCUGAUCUAGCCAUGCCGCGUGAGCGAUGAAGGCCUUAGGGUUGUAAAGCUCUUUCAGCUGGGAAGAUAAUGACGGUACCAGCAGAAGAAGCCCCGGCUAACUCCGUG
RNAcentral lists this ribosomal RNA (433 nucleotides) under uncultured bacterium. Its description in RNAcentral is "partial 16S ribosomal RNA". It matches the Rfam family "Bacterial small subunit ribosomal RNA", at positions 29 to 507 of the family's 1533-position model. The record is from RNAcentral.